CAGGCCUAACACAUGCAAGUCGAACGCAUCGCAAGAUGAGUGGCAGACGGGUGAGUAACGCGUGGGAACCUACCCAGAACUUCGGAAUAACACAUGGAAACGUGUGCUAAUACCGGAUACGCCCUACGGGGGAAAGAUUUAUCGGUUUUGGAUGGGCCCGCGUAAGAUUAGCUAGUUGGUGAGGUAAUGGCUCACCAAGGCGACGAUCUUUAGCUGGUCUGAGAGGAUGAUCUCCCACACUGGGACUGAGACACGGCCCAGACUCCUACGGGAGGCAGCAGUGGGGAAUAUUGGACAAUGGGCGCAAGCCUGAUCCAGCCAUGCCGCGUGAGUGAUGAAGGCCUUAGGGUUGUAAAGCUCUUUCAGUAGGGAAGAUAAUGACGGUACCUACAGAAGAAGCCCCGGCUAACUUCGUGCCAGCAGCCGCGGUAAUAAGGGC
RNAcentral lists this ribosomal RNA (439 nucleotides) under uncultured bacterium. RNAcentral describes it as "bacterial SSU rRNA". It matches the Rfam family "Bacterial small subunit ribosomal RNA", at positions 43 to 530 of the family's 1533-position model. The record is from RNAcentral.